AAUUCUCAGGGCGGGGUGAAAUUCCCCACCGGUGGUACAGCCCACGAGCUUUUCAGCUGAUUUGGUGAGAUUCCAAAGCCGACGGUAGAGUCCGGAUGAAAGAGAAUG
RNAcentral lists this non-coding RNA (108 nucleotides) under human gut metagenome. Its description in RNAcentral is "FMN riboswitch (RFN element)". It matches the Rfam family "FMN riboswitch aptamer (RFN element)". From Rfam's summary of the family: The RFN element is a highly conserved domain that is found frequently in the 5'-untranslated regions of prokaryotic mRNAs that encode for flavin mononucleotide (FMN) biosynthesis and transport proteins. This element is a metabolite-dependent riboswitch that directly binds FMN in the absence of proteins. In Bacillus subtilis, the riboswitch most likely controls gene expression by causing premature transcription termination within the 5' untranslated region of the ribDEAHT operon and precluding access to the ribosome-binding site of ypaA mRNA. The record is from RNAcentral.